RNAcentral lists this ribosomal RNA (458 nucleotides) under Klebsiella pneumoniae. RNAcentral describes it as "bacterial SSU rRNA". It matches the Rfam family "Bacterial small subunit ribosomal RNA", at positions 1 to 453 of the family's 1533-position model. Lineage: Bacteria; Pseudomonadati; Pseudomonadota; Gammaproteobacteria; Enterobacterales; Enterobacteriaceae. The record is from RNAcentral.
ACUUAAAUUGAAGAGUUUGAUCAUGGCUCAGAUUGAACGCUGGCGGCAGGCCUAACACAUGCAAGUCGAGCGGUAGCACAGAGAGCUUGCUCUCGGGUGACGAGCGGCGGACGGGUGAGUAAUGUCUGGGAAACUGCCUGAUGGAGGGGGAUAACUACUGGAAACGGUAGCUAAUACCGCAUAACGUCGCAAGACCAAAGUGGGGGACCUUCGGGCCUCAUGCCAUCAGAUGUGCCCAGAUGGGAUUAGCUAGUAGGUGGGGUAACGGCUCACCUAGGCGACGAUCCCUAGCUGGUCUGAGAGGAUGACCAGCCACACUGGAACUGAGACACGGUCCAGACUCCUACGGGAGGCAGCAGUGGGGAAUAUUGCACAAUGGGCGCAAGCCUGAUGCAGCCAUGCCGCGUGUGUGAAGAUGGCCUUCGGGUUGUAAAGCACUUUCAGCGGGGAGGAAGGCG